RNA transcript from Glycine soja, 1675 nucleotides. RefSeq lists it as uncharacterized. The transcript is spliced from 6 exons. NCBI's taxonomy places the organism in Eukaryota, Viridiplantae, Streptophyta, Magnoliopsida, Fabales, Fabaceae. The record is from RefSeq and is a predicted model, not a curated record.
GAACCAAGAAUAACUCGAAUCUACUCCAUCUUCCACCUUCCUCCUUCCUCACCCCCACACAAUAUCCUCACCCCUUCGCUCAUUUUUUCUUUUUAUUAUUAAAACUAAAAUUAUACUAGUAUAUAAACCUAUGCUCAUUCCACUCUUUAUCUUUUCCUCCAAUACCUCCGCCACCACUCUCUCUCUCUCUCUCUCUCUCUCUUCAAUACUCACGCUAGAUUAUUUCCCUUUGAUGAGUGUUGAACGGCCAAGAUGGUGAACGACGACGAGUGGGUGCGUGCGGCGAUGGAGGAUGACACCGUUGUGGUGGAGCUUCUGCUACGCCUCAAGCAAGGUACCGUUUUACACAAAUCUCACCACCAGCAGCUUUUACCUUUCUCCUGGGGAGUCAAACAGCCGCGCUCAAGAUCAAGGCUAACCUCCGCCGCCGUCUCCCGAUGCGACGCCGCCGUUUCCACCAGAUGCAGCCCCACCACGCCCCUCUCUUGGAGCGCCGGCGCCGACAGUUACGAAGACUCCAGCCGCCACCACCACCAUCACGCCGCCGUAUCCAAGGCUACUGCUACAAGUGGAUACACUGGCAACUCUGCUUCUACCAAGAGGUGCAGAAGAAAAAAGACCUUUGCAGAAUUAAAGGAAGAGGAGAGCUCCCUGCUAAAGGAAAGCAUAUAUCUGAAAAAGGAAAUAGCGUCUGUAAAUGCAAACUUUGAGGCACAGAGAGCUAAAAAUGAGAGUCUGAAGAGAAUGAAGCUUGAUGUGGGAUCAAAAUAUCAGAACAAUCCAAGUUCAACAUCUGUUGAACCGCAGCGUCUGCCUGCUGGUCAACCCCAUCAGAGAAUAGUGGUAUCUACGGAGGCCCUCAUACGUCCCAUUCAAGAAGAUACUCAUUCACUUGCAUCAGAAUCUAGGCCAAACAGGAUAAAAUCAACCGGGGAAAGUUUUUUCUUGAUACCAGAUCUAAAUAUGGUGCCGUCCGAGGAUGUUUCUUGCACUGACGCUCUAUGUGGAAUGAGUUGAGACCUCUUUCUCUUACUAUGUGUGUUGGGGAUACAAAUCUGAACAAUGUACAGGCCCAGAGAGCUAUUUGAAGGCUCUAUCCAAUAGAAAACCAAUGAAUAUCGUGGUGCACUAGAAACGUUUCUUGAUCUGACUACUAAUUCUUAUGAAUGGAAAAGAAAUUGGUAGUCAUAUAUAUGGGAAAAUUUUCUUGGGUAGUUCUAGCCAUUAGGCUGUAGAGUAGAGAGAUAUGCUAAAAAGUUCGCAGGUUCCUCCGAUUCCGAAAUUCUUAAAAACCUUUCCGAUUUCGGAAUUCGUCAAUCAUGUCAGAUGUACCAAUUCUUUUGUAGGUUAAACGCUCUUGGAUUCCCUUAGAAGGAUCUUUCGGCACUGCCAUGAUCAUCAUGUGCUGGAUUCUCUUAUCUUAGUGGUGACUGGUGAAACACAAGAUCCUGGCACCAUGUAUGUACUAUUCUUUAUUCUAUUUGAUAAAUGACUCACCCUCCAUGUCAAAACAAUGGACAGUGCAAUGGGGAUAAAAGCAUACAUCCAACCAGAUGAACAUACAUAGCUCUAGUGGUCCCCUACUGUGUGUAGUGCCAGUACAGGGGACUGCUAACUAUGGCUAUUUACGAGGUUAGAUCUUUUACAUAUUCAAUUUUCAUCCUGCCUAAGCUCA